Molecule: long non-coding RNA, 1057 nt
Filed under: Cairina moschata (Muscovy duck)
Lineage: Eukaryota; Metazoa; Chordata; Aves; Anseriformes; Anatidae
Description: domestica (muscovy Duck (domestic type)) lncRNA (ENSCMMG00000015938.1)
Source: RNAcentral
GCAGAAUAAGGACAAUAAUUUUUCAAGGUUCUUAUGUGCCUGCAGUGAUUUCAGUGGGGAUUAAAGUUUAAAUGCAGACAUGUUAUGUCCCAGUGUAUAUUUAGGGAUUAAAAUUUUUAAGUAAAUAUUUGCCAAAUAUUGCAAAUGAGGAAUAUGGAAGAAUGAAAGGAAGUUUUUUCUCUGCAAUGAAGGCAUGCAUAGUUGUUUAGCUUGUCCCAAACAUGGGUUUGUAAAAGCCUUUUUCAACAAUAUGCCAUUGUAAAGUCCAGAUACAUCACUUCCAAUGCAGGAAAAAAAAAAUAAAAAUAAAGGGAAUUAUGUAGAUUUGUAUUUUUAGAGACUUCUUUUUCAUUUCCCCUUGCUGGGAAGGCCAGGUGCAUUGGUUACAAUGAGCCUACCAAGGCAGGGCUCAGAGGGAGCUGUAAAAAAUGACAUGCUAAUCCAUACUUCUUUGAGCAUAAACUUGUCGUGGUUUUAAAGCCUGUUAUUUUGGGACAUUCCAGACCUGAAAGUGAGUGCUGGAAAUUAACUUUUUUUUUUUUUUUUUUUUUUUCCCCAGAAGUAUAAGAUGUCAUCUGAAAAACAGUGGCUCAUGAAACUAUGGACUUUGAGGUCAUAUGGAAAAUUUUGUGCCUGACUGGGACACUCAUGGUUAAAGACAGAGAUAUAUCCAAGGUGUCUCUGUGUUGUGGUGUGGUGAUGUCCAGGAACUUGAAACUCUGCUAUGGCUGAGUCCACAGCCUGAAUGGCUGUAAGAAGCAUGGUACAAAAUGGUCCACCACUAUUACAGGAAUAUUCACAUCAGCAUGAAGGAAUUUAAUAUCAAUCUGAAUUACAAGAGAAGAAAGGAGGCACAGCGAAGAAACAGAAUGGACCAUGCAUAAGGAAGGGAACCCUGUACCACACAGGAAUGACAUUUCUGCCUUCAAGCUCUUUUCUAUUUCUCCUUGUUCCUCCAAACCUACUCAUCUAUAGCUUCAUUUUAUUUUAUCAUUACCCUGCCAGAAACAGCAAGAAUUGCCUUCAGAUGGGGCACAACACAUGCUUGUGUACUUGA